RNAcentral lists this transfer RNA (73 nucleotides) under Cordylochernes scorpioides. RNAcentral describes it as "tRNA-Thr". It matches the Rfam family "tRNA". From Rfam's summary of the family: Transfer RNA (tRNA) molecules are approximately 80 nucleotides in length. Their secondary structure includes four short double-helical elements and three loops (D, anti-codon, and T loops). Further hydrogen bonds mediate the characteristic L-shaped molecular structure. tRNAs have two regions of fundamental functional importance: the anti-codon, which is responsible for specific mRNA codon recognition, and the 3' end, to which the tRNAs corresponding amino acid is attached (by aminoacyl-tRNA synthetases). tRNAs cope with the degeneracy of the genetic code in two manners: having more than one tRNA (with a specific anti-codon) for a particular amino acid; and 'wobble' base-pairing, i.e. permitting non-standard base-pairing at the 3rd anti-codon position. Lineage: Eukaryota; Metazoa; Arthropoda; Arachnida; Pseudoscorpiones; Chernetidae. The record is from RNAcentral.
UCCAGGAUAACCUAGUGGACAUGGCACCUGCCCGGUAAGCAGAAGGUUGUGGGUUCGAUUCUCGCUCCUGGAC